CAACGUCAUGGUGACAUGUUCCCGUCAGACCAAGGAAAGGAAAACCACUCAAACGAAACCAAUCAAUAGGAAUUCUACUUUAAAUACAUUGUAAUCGGGAUCGGGUAAUCGCUGCCUGCAAACAGCUGUACAAAUUGGUUAACCGUUGGCACUAUUUUUGAAAAUAUAUCUGGAAACUCAUUUGAAAUCAAUAAACUUUAUAUCAGUUGGCAUUCUGAUUGUGAAAUGGAAGCUAUGGAGGAUUCCGGCUCAGAAGAAAGCACUAUAACAAUCUUUGAUGUGCUCAGAGUUGACAUUUGCUGCCGAGCAAUCCUGGAGAAGGUACCCUUUCCGGAUCUGGUCCGCUCGGAGAGAGUAAGCAGAGAAUGGCAGGGUAUUGUGCAUGAAUAUCUCCGUAACAACAAACGCAAUAUGAGAUUCUUUGAUCUCUAUCGAGAUAUUCAUCGUUACAACCAAAGAGACAAAAUCUUCAAGAACAAUCCGUUAAUCAUGGAUCAUACCAUGGUUUUCCGUACACACAAUUCUUCAGAGAUAGUCAAGAAACCGAUACAUUUAAUUAUUCAAGAGGUUACGGAUCGCUGGUUGACAUAAACUUUUGAAUGUGAACGUAUCAUCAUGUCACUAGUAGCAAAACUUGAUAGAUAUGGAAUAUUUCAAUUUUAGCCCUGAUUUUAGAUUUUCUGAGCUUGUCAUUCUACUAACAGAUUCUUAAAAGCAUGUAAUUGACACAUCAAAAAUAAACAAAUAUCAUUUAAUACACAUAUACUUAUAUGUAGCAUUAUAAAAACUAAUAAUUUAUUUUAAUUUUCACUAUUAAUUAGUAAUACAAUAGUCUUUUAGUGAUUUUUAACCUUUUAGUGACAAGGGACCACAUGAAAAAAAAAAGCUUUUCAACACUAGAUCUCUUCUAUUUUUCGUAGGUUUAGGACACAAUUUUAAAAUUAAGUAGUAUUUGGUUGAAUAUGAUUUUUUUCUAAAUAGAUUGGAUUUGUAUAUGAUGAAAUCAAAUAACUUGGUAAUGUAAUGGAAAGCAUAAUCUUUGAAAACGGUUUAUGGUAGGUAUUAUUUAUUUAUUUAUUUUUAUUUGAUUUUUUACUUACCUACUUAAAUUAUACACAUUUUAGUAAUAGUUUGUAAUCUCUUUUAUUCAUAAGUUUUUGUUGACGGUAUUUUAUUAAAAGCAUCACUAAUCAUUGGUAAAGUACCUAUGGACGCAAAGCACGAAGAAUGUUGUACAUUGACCCUCGAAUUCCUAUCUCUAUCGCACGCGCCUUGCUGUCCCGCUCGCACAAUGGCAUUGACCGCCGGCAUCAUCAUUAUGCGCGUGCGAUGGAAAUAGGAAUGGCUGGUCAAUAUAAGAAAAGCUUCCUCACUUUAGACCUUAUUUCGUUGUAGUGAGGUUUAUAAUUGAUCAGUGUAGUGUAUCGAUGAUACUUAAGGGCCUACCGCGAACCACGUUCGACGUGUUGCCUCCCUGUCACACUUACAUACGAAUUUACAAGUGCGACAAAGAGGCAACACGUUGAAGGUGGUUCGCGGUAGGCCCUCUCGAGAACAAAUUGGGAUGGUGGUGGUUUAAAUUUUGUGCAAUAAAAGUACCGUCAGCAAAGAAGGUUGUGUUUUUACUUUUUUUGCUUAUUUUACUCUUACAUCUACUGUGUGUAGUUUGCCCAUAAUAAAAUUAAUG
Molecule: long non-coding RNA, 1687 nt
Organism: Cydia splendana
Lineage: Eukaryota; Metazoa; Arthropoda; Insecta; Lepidoptera; Tortricidae
Exons: 2
Source: RefSeq, a predicted model, not a curated record